Molecule: ribosomal RNA, 497 nt
Filed under: uncultured bacterium
Lineage: Bacteria
Description: partial 16S ribosomal RNA
Rfam family: Bacterial small subunit ribosomal RNA
Source: RNAcentral
GAUGAACGCUGGCGGCAGGCCUAAUACAUGCAAGUCGAGCGGACGGACGGUAAGCGCUCGUUUUUGCGGUUGGCGGGGGGCGGGUGGGUGAGGCGUAGAUAAGCAUCUUAUAUUACGGGGGUGAUUUCGGAAAAACGCAUCCGCUAAUGGCGAAUAUGUUGUACGGGUGGGAGCAAAGGUUAAUGGGGGCUUGCGCGACUGAAUGAGCUGGUGCCGGGUUGCAUUAGCUAGUUGGUAAGGUAACGGCCUACCAAGGCAACGAUGCAUAGCCGACCUGAGAGGGUGAUCAGCCACACUGGAACUGAGACACGGUCCAGACUCCUACGGGAGGCAGCAGUAGGGAAUCUUCCGCAAUGGGCGAAAGCCUGACCGAGCAACGCCGCGUGAGUGGUGAAGGUCUUCGGAUCGUAAAACUCUUUUAUUAGGGAAGAACAUCUGUAUAAGUAAAUGUGGCUAUCCUGACGGUACCUAAUCAGAAAGCCACGGCUAACUACGUG